GGAGGAAUACCCAAGUCCGGCUGAAGGGAUCGGUCUUGAAAACCGACAGGGCGUGAAAGCGUCGCGGGGGUUCGAAUCCCUCUUCCUCCGCCA
RNAcentral lists this transfer RNA (93 nucleotides) under Turicibacter sanguinis. RNAcentral describes it as "tRNA-Ser(tga)". It matches the Rfam family "tRNA". From Rfam's summary of the family: Transfer RNA (tRNA) molecules are approximately 80 nucleotides in length. The record is from RNAcentral. RNAcentral also lists the same sequence under 12 other names. Lineage: Bacteria; Bacillati; Bacillota; Erysipelotrichia; Erysipelotrichales; Turicibacteraceae.